This is a non-coding RNA of Triticum aestivum (bread wheat), 125 nucleotides long. The record is from Rfam. Lineage: Eukaryota; Viridiplantae; Streptophyta; Magnoliopsida; Poales; Poaceae.
AUACUACUCUCUCUGUCCGGAAAUACUUGUCGGAGAAAUGAAUGAAAAUAGAUGUAUCUAGAACUAAAUUGCAUCUAGAUACAUCGAUUCCUCCGACAAAAAUUUUUGGACGGAGGAAGUACUAG